GACAGAGGGUGCAAACGUUGUUCGGAAUUACUGGGCGUAAAGCGCGUGUAGGCGGCUAUGCAAGUCGGAUGUGAAAGCCCCCGGCUCAACUGGGGAGGGUCAUUCGAUACUGAUCGACUGGAAGGCAGGAGAGGGAAGCGGAAUUCCCGGUGUAGUGGUGAAAUGCGUAGAUAUCGGGAGGAACACCAGUGGCGAAGGCGGCUUCCUGGCCUGUUCUUGACGCUGAGGCGCGAAAGCGUGGGGAGCGAACAGG
RNAcentral lists this ribosomal RNA (253 nucleotides) under uncultured bacterium. RNAcentral's name for it is "partial 16S ribosomal RNA". It matches the Rfam family "Bacterial small subunit ribosomal RNA", at positions 524 to 776 of the family's 1533-position model. The record is from RNAcentral.